CUCAGAGACCUAAAAAUUUAUGCACGCAACCUGUUUGAUCAAAGUCCUCAGCGAGAUGCUUGAUACUAUGUGAUGAAUUUCGAGAUGUUAUAUGUAGCUAUGAUUUCUGAUCAACACUGCUCCUCUCUUCCUAAGGCAGGUGGUGCGAUGGCAAGAGAAGCUGCGAAGGGGUCGUUCGGUGAGAAAGCAUUAGGUCCAUAGUUAGCUGGUGAAUGUGGUGCCGGCAAUGCCAGUAUGGCUGGUCUCCCAGCCACGCUGCUAGCACUUCCGUUGGCAUAGAAACCCGAGGAAGCUUGCAUUCCCCCAUAUUGGUACAUGCUAUUAAAAACCAACGGAUCGAAGCCUUGAGGGAGAGACGGCUUCUGGUUUGACAAAUGGCUAGCGGACUGAACUAAGGCCGUCUCCCAAUCCCCUGAUUCUGGUUCGUUGAAGGCUUCCCAUGGCGAACUUGUGCUUGUGGAAGGAGUCGUGGCGGGAUAGCCGUCAAACAGAGCUAAAGCCAGUUGAUCCCCAAGAUCCUGAGGAGUUGGUGUGUCGUCGUACAGGUUCAGCAGAUCGCCUUCUACUUGAGUUUUCUUAUAUUGCUGUGGUGCAGGAGUCAUCUUUAAAUCAUCUGCUGUUUCUUCCUUGAUUGGUGAGAGCAACUUUUGAGGCUCCUCUAUCCAGGCUUCUUUUGCGAGGGCGAGUGCUGCUUGCUGUGGCUCGAUGGCCUUCCUGCUGUGCAGUGUGGAUGACUUGUGGUGGAUGAAGUCGUCCAUCAUGUCGAGUUUUGGCUGGGAGAUUUUCUCCACGUUGGGAUACUCGUGGAAACGCAUGAUCCCGACAUUCUUGCACCAGCUGUAGAAGCCAUCAAGCUCGUCAUACUGCUUGGAGACGUGCAAGAAGAUGUCGUGGACUUGCAUCAUGUCAGAACCUCUGAAGAAGCUGCAUGAGAUGAUCAGCUCGGGCGAAAACAGCCUCGGUGUCCAUCUCAGACACGGGAGUAGCCCUCACAAUGACGGCACCGUCAUCCUCCUCCUCCUCCUCCUCCACCUUACGAUCUCUGCCCCUCUCGGCAUGGCCCUGCAUCCUGAACUCGAGGAGCUCGUCCAAGUACAAGGCGUACGUGCGGACAAAUGCAGAGUAGUCCCACGCCUUCCUUGACGAAUCCCUGAAAUCGCAGAGGUUGAGGAAGCGCGUCCCGCGCCUGGUGGUGAAAAAGAUGUCCUGCUCGAAGGCAGUGCCUCCCUGAGACAGGAGGCGCUGGACGAGCAGGAGGGCCUUCAGGGCCACCACCCAGUUCUUGGUCCGGUUGAGGCGGCGGGCAAUGAUGGCGAUGCAGGAGUUGACCAUGGAGCGAGAGUAGCACGUGAGGCUGAGGAUCUCGGCCACGUAGCACUGGUUGGGGGGGUUCUGGCCAUGGCGGGUGGCUUUGACAAUGGCCACUUCGAGGUCGGAGAGGGAGCUGCUGCCGGUGGAGACCUUGGCCAGGCUGAUGCUGGUGUGAUCCUUGAAUGCUCCUAUAACUUCUUUCAUCUUGCUCGAGGCCAUGCGUUUUUUUCUUCCUUUUCGUUCGUCAAUGCUUUAUGUAUUCGAGUUUGAUCAACUUUUUCGAGUUGUUGAGGAUGAAAGAGGGUCAGAGAGAUGGAGAAGGAGAAGAGGAUUUGAGGAAACUACCUAUUUGGAUUCAAGAAUCUAAACAGGUUGAACUCCUGUUUAUUUUCUCCUUCUCUAUCUCUCUCUCUCUGUCUGUGUAUCUCUCUCUCUCUCUUCCUUCUUGAUCUCAUGUUUGUUUUGUGGAGUUGAAAAGAUUGGCCUCAAAUUUGGCAUGAAAUCAGGACACCCAGUGAAGUCAAUGGGGUUAACAUGUUUGUGGUGGAGAUUAUAGUAUGUUUAUAACUGUUUGUUAAAUGAUUCUUUGUGGAAAGAUCAUACAGUAUGAUAUACUAAUUGAUGUGUGUAGUCUCUUUUUCAA
Non-coding RNA from Salvia hispanica, 1954 nucleotides. The record is from RefSeq and is a predicted model, not a curated record. NCBI's taxonomy places the organism in Eukaryota, Viridiplantae, Streptophyta, Magnoliopsida, Lamiales, Lamiaceae.